UUCCAGCUCCAAUAGCGUAUAUUAAAGUUGUUGCGGUUAAAAAGCUCGUAGUUGGAUUUCUGGAAAGGACGACCGGUCCACCCACUGGGUGAGAACAUGGUUCGGCUCGACCAUUUUCUUGGAGAACGCUGCUGCGCUUCAUUGUGUGGGGUGGCAUCCAGGACUUUUACUUUGAAAAAAUUAGAGUGUUUAAAGCAGGCUUACGCUUGAAUACAUUAGCAUGGAAUAAUAAAAUAGGACUUUGGUUUUAUUUUGUUGGUUUUCGAAACCAAAGUAAUGAUUAAUAGGGAUAGUUGGGGGCAUUAGUAUUGAGCCGUCUGAGGUGAAAUUCUUGGAUUGGCUCAAGACUAACUUCUGCGAAAGCAUUUGCCAAGGAUGUUUUCAUCA
RNAcentral lists this ribosomal RNA (387 nucleotides) under Chytridiomycetes sp. Its description in RNAcentral is "partial small subunit ribosomal RNA". It matches the Rfam family "Eukaryotic small subunit ribosomal RNA", at positions 583 to 975 of the family's 1831-position model. Lineage: Eukaryota; Fungi; Chytridiomycota; Chytridiomycetes. The record is from RNAcentral.